UGGCGAUGAGUUGAAGGAAGAUUGAGGAGUUUGUUGAAUUUUAGAGUUUGUCUUGAUAAUUGCAUGAAUAUUAUUUGAGAUUUAAGUGUGUUUUUAAUCAACUUGGUUUACCAACAUUUCUGUUAAAUUGUUCUUACUCUUAAGUCAAGCUUAAAGCAACCGAGAAAUGAUCGCAAAGAAAGAAGCAUAAGACACUUCGAGUGGUGAUGAUAAGAAGUAGUGUCGGUAUGUCAAGGUACACUUUAUCGCUUUCUAGACUUAACAUGAGUAGUUUGAUGGU
Molecule: long non-coding RNA, 280 nt
Filed under: Lathyrus oleraceus (garden pea)
Lineage: Eukaryota; Viridiplantae; Streptophyta; Magnoliopsida; Fabales; Fabaceae
Description: Pisum sativum (pea) long non-coding RNA (PSAT_LNC003496)
Source: RNAcentral